GACUUUAUUUCUACAUUGAGAUUAUUGUAAUUCUCUAUUAUCAGGAUGUCUGAAAAGCUGCUUAAGGAGUCUUCAGCUGAAUCAAAACGCUGCAGUGAGA
Molecule: long non-coding RNA, 100 nt
Organism: Salarias fasciatus (jewelled blenny)
Lineage: Eukaryota; Metazoa; Chordata; Actinopteri; Blenniiformes; Blenniidae
Exons: 3
Source: RefSeq, a predicted model, not a curated record